Molecule: ribosomal RNA, 250 nt
Filed under: uncultured bacterium
Lineage: Bacteria
Description: partial 16S ribosomal RNA
Rfam family: Bacterial small subunit ribosomal RNA
Source: RNAcentral
UACGUAGGGUGCGAGCGUUGUUCGGAAUUACUGGGUGUAAAGGGUCCGCAGGCGGGAGAGCAAGUCGGUGGUGAAAGUUCAUGGCUCAACUGUGAAAUUGCCUUCGAUACUGCUCUUCUUGAGUUCGAGAGAGGAUGAUGGAAUUCAUGGUGUAGCAGUGAAAUGCGUAGAGAUCAUGAAGAACACCAGUUGCGAAGGCGGUCAUCUGGCUCGAUACUGACGCUCAGGGACGAAAGCGUGGGGAGCAAAC